Cyprinus carpio (common carp) is the source of this 1248-nucleotide RNA transcript. It is a transcript of the gene named PRKR interacting protein 1, with no coding region annotated. The transcript has 9 exons. NCBI's taxonomy places the organism in Eukaryota, Metazoa, Chordata, Actinopteri, Cypriniformes, Cyprinidae. The record is from RefSeq and is a predicted model, not a curated record.
UCACAAUUGUGAGUAUGGUUAAGCAGAUCACAUGACAGUAAUAAAAGAGUUUGAUCUGCCACAAUGACAUGGAUGUGGUAAAGUAAAUCUGACAGCAAUAUAAAAUGCUACAGUUUGAGCGGUCACUGGUGAAAAUGUAGGUGACAGUAUGCGCUCUUGCCGUUGAUGAACAGAAGAAGAACUCGAAACCCGGCUCGAAGAAGUCUCUGGAAAAAUCAUGGCGGCGGCCGAUAAGAAAGAUGCGCGACCAGGAAAAGCUCCUAAAAAAGAGUCCCAGCCUUUAAUUAUCGCCAAAACACCAGCAGAGGAGCAGCGUUUAAAGUUGGAGAGAUUGAUGCGAAACCCUGAUAAACCUGCGCCUAUUCCAGAGAAACCAAAAGAGUGGAAUCCUCGCGCUCCACCAGAGUUUGUGCGGGAUGUGAUGGGCUCCAGUGCUGGAGCAGGCAGCGGUGAAUUCCACGUGUAUAGACAUCUGCGCCGGCGGGAGUAUCAGAGACAAGAUUUCCUGGAACGAAUUUCUGACAAGCAAAAGCUGGAUGAAGAAUAUAUUGAGAAGGUGAAAGAAAACCAAAAGGCUGCUGAGGAAAGAACAGCCAAACGCAGAAAGAAGAGGGAAAAGUUGAAACAAAAGAAGCUGAUGGCCAAGAAAGCCAAGAUGGAGAGCCAGAAAGAAGAAGGUACAAGAUAAUGAAAUGAUCUUAGAAAUCCAUCCCAUUCUUCCUUGAACGCCAACUGGAAGACAUCUACUAAACACUGAGAGUGUCUGAAAACUUAAGCUCCGAGGAGAAGUCAUCAUCCUCUGCUUCUGAAGCAGAAGAGCAAGAAGAUGAUGCAGAAGUGCCGAGCUUCAUCAUGGGGAAGAGGUGACCGAAUGAAAGGAUUGAAGUAUCCAGCAUAUACUUCCAUACAAUACCAGAAACCCCUCCAGCAGAGAACUUUAGUGAGCUGUUCGUAAAAAUACUCAAAGUCAGUUUGGAUUCAGUGUUUCAGAAGUGCUUGAGUCAGAUGUUCAACAUUUGAGGUGGACAUUUGAAAAGCUAAAUGUUUUUCUUUCAUUGGAGUGCUGAUGAUAAGCUAAUGUGACCGGGAUAGACUUUUAUUCUGUUGUAAAUGUUUUUUGUUUUUUUUUAAUAAACAACAAAGGGAAUAAUUUUGGCAUUUCGGUGUUUCAUGGAACAUUGUUCUCACUGUCCUUUAACUGCUUCUGCUUUUCCAUUAUGUGAAUAAAUUAUACUUAAAAAUAGAAAA